CUACGGGACGCACCAGUGAGGAAUAUUGCACAAUGGGGGGAACCCUGAUGCAGCAACGCCGCGUGGAGGAUGACGCAUUUCGGUGUGUAAACUCCUUUUAUAUGUCAAGAAAAUGACGGUAGCAUAUGAAUAAGCACCGGCUAACCCCGUGCCAGCAGCCGCGGUAAUAGCGGAGGGUGCAAGCGUUACUCGGAAUCACUGGGCGUAAAGGACGCGUAGGCGGGCUUGUAAGUCAGGUGUGAAAUCCUACAGCUUAACUGUAGAACUGCACUUGAAACUACGAGCCUAGAGUAUGGGAGGGGCAGAUGGAAUUAGUGGUGUAGGGGUAAAAUCCGUAGAUAUCACUAGGAAUACCUAAAGCGAAGGCGAUCUGCUGGAACAUAACUGACGCUAAGGCGUGAAAGCGUGGGGAGCAAACAGGAUUAGAUACCCCCGUAGUC
Molecule: ribosomal RNA, 440 nt
Filed under: uncultured bacterium
Lineage: Bacteria
Description: partial 16S ribosomal RNA
Rfam family: Bacterial small subunit ribosomal RNA
Source: RNAcentral